AAAGUAAUUAAAUAACGUUGUCGUAUAAUGUCGGGGAUAUGGCCCGAAAGUUUCUACCGAGUUACCGUAAAUGACUCGACUACGAUUUUGUCCUUUCUGAAC
Planomicrobium sp. is the source of this 102-nucleotide regulatory RNA element. It matches the Rfam family "Purine riboswitch aptamer". From Rfam's summary of the family: Riboswitches are metabolite binding domains within certain messenger RNAs that serve as precision sensors for their corresponding targets. Allosteric rearrangement of mRNA structure is mediated by ligand binding, and this results in modulation of gene expression. The record is from Rfam. Lineage: Bacteria; Bacillati; Bacillota; Bacilli; Caryophanales; Caryophanaceae.